UUGAGAUGAUAAAAAAUGAUUGCCUUAUUAAGGUUAAAUAUUUGUGUACAUUGUCUUAUCCCAUGGACACCAACCGAGGCUACUUAAAACUGACCAAACUGGACCACCAGAAAAGAAAGGCGUAAAAACAUGAGACAACAAAAGAACUGAGUACAACUAGAAAACAUGAUUUUUUCCAUUCUUCUUAACACACCAUGUAAUCACCAGUCAGUCCAAACAGUAAUCAAUUUGUAUCCCUUUACUAAUCCUUACCUGAACCAGCUUUAAGGAUUGUCCAAUUGUGUCUCAAAUAUGUUAAAUCAAAUUGAUGAUGACAACCAACAAAAUGAGUCAAAGCCUGUAACACAGGAAUUUAAAGGCGACAAAUUUUUGGUUUGAAAAAAUCAACAUUUUCCUUGAUCAUUUAGGAAGCAAAUGUAACUCUUGAAACUCAUGAAACUCAUGAAGCGAGCAUUUCAUCGAUGACUUAUGAUCAUCAAGUUGAUUUGCUUCUCAAUUGAGUGUAAAUAAUUUUAAACCUCAAAACCCAUCUAUAAAUUGAGUAAAAAUAUAUGCUGAAAUAAAAAAACAUUAAAGUUGAUUCAAUGGUUUU
Tetranychus urticae (two-spotted spider mite) is the source of this 592-nucleotide non-coding RNA. NCBI's taxonomy places the organism in Eukaryota, Metazoa, Arthropoda, Arachnida, Trombidiformes, Tetranychidae. The record is from RefSeq and is a predicted model, not a curated record.